Molecule: ribosomal RNA, 897 nt
Filed under: Aspergillus effusus
Lineage: Eukaryota; Fungi; Ascomycota; Eurotiomycetes; Eurotiales; Aspergillaceae
Description: partial large subunit ribosomal RNA
Rfam family: Eukaryotic large subunit ribosomal RNA
Source: RNAcentral
GCAUAUCAAUUAGCGGAGGAAAAGAAACCAACCGGGAUUGCCUCAGUAACGGCGAGUGAAGCGGCAAGAGCUCAAAUUUGAAAGCUGGCUCCUUCGGGGUCCGCAUUGUAAUUUGCAGAGGAUGCUUCGGGUGCGGCCCCUGUCUAAGUGCCCUGGAACGGGCCGUCAGAGAGGGUGAGAAUCCCGUCUGGGAUGGGGUGUCCGCGCCCGUGUGAAGCUCCUUCGACGAGUCGAGUUGUUUGGGAAUGCAGCUCUAAAUGGGUGGUAAAUUUCAUCUAAAGCUAAAUACUGGCCGGAGACCGAUAGCGCACAAGUAGAGUGAUCGAAAGAUGAAAAGCACUUUGAAAAGAGAGUUAAAAAGCACGUGAAAUUGUUGAAAGGGAAGCGCUUGCGACCAGACUCGCCUCCAGGGUUCAGCCGGCAUUCGUGCCGGUGUACUUCCCUGGGGGCGGGCCAGCGUCGGUUUGGGCGGCCGGUCAAAGGCUCCCGGAAUGUAGUGCCCUCCGGGGCACCUUAUAGCCGGGAGUGCAAUGCGGCCAGCCUGGACCGAGGAACGCGCUUCGGCACGGACGCUGGCAUAAUGGUCGUAAACGACCCGUCUUGAAACACGGACCAAGGAGUCUAACAUCUACGCGAGUGUUCGGGUGUCAAACCCGUACGCGCAGUGAAAGCGAACGGAGGUGGGAGCCCCCUCGUGGGGCGCACCAUCGACCGAUCCUGAUGUCUUCGGAUGGAUUUGAGUAAGAGCGUAAAUGUGGGGACCCGAAAGAUGGUGAACUAUGCCUGAAUAGGGCGAAGCCAGAGGAAACUCUGGUGGAGGCUCGCAGCGGUUCUGACGUGCAAAUCGAUCGUCAAAUUUGGGUAUAGGGGCGAAAGACUAAUCGAACCAUCUAGUAG